Molecule: ribosomal RNA, 497 nt
Filed under: uncultured bacterium
Lineage: Bacteria
Description: partial 16S ribosomal RNA
Rfam family: Bacterial small subunit ribosomal RNA
Source: RNAcentral
GAUGAACGCUGGCGGCGUGCCUAAUACAUGCAAGUCGAGCGAACAGACGAGGAGCUUGCUCCUCUGACGUUAGCGGCGGACGGGUGAGUAACACGUGGAUAACCUACCUAUAAGACUGGGAUAACUUCGGGAAACCGGAGCUAAUACCGGAUAAUAUAUUGAACCGCAUGGUUCAAUAGUGAAAGACGGUUUUGCUGUCACUUAUAGAUGGAUCCGCGCCGCAUUAGCUAGUUGGUAAGGUAACGGCUUACCAAGGCAACGAUGCGUAGCCGACCUGAGAGGGUGAUCGGCCACACUGGAACUGAGACGCGGUCCAGACUCCUACGGGAGGCAGCAGUAGGGAAUCUUCCGCAGUGGGCGGAAGCCUGACGGAGCAACGCCGCGUGAGUGAUGAAGGUCUUCGGAUCGUAAAACUCUGUUAUUAGGGAAGAACAAAUGUGUAAGUAACUAUGCACGUCUUGACGGUACCUAAUCAGAAAGCCACGGCUAACUACGUG